GAUGAACGCUGGCGGCGUGCCUAAUACAUGCAAGUCGAGCGAACAGAUGAGGAGCUUGCUCCUCUGACGUUAGCGGCGGACGGGUGAGUAACACGUGGAUAACCUACCUAUAAGACUGGGAUAACUUCGGGAAACCGGAGCUAAUACCGGAUAAUAUAUUGAACCGCAUGGUUCAAUAGUGAAAGACGGUUUUGCUGUCACUUAUAGAUGGAUCCGCGCCGCAUUAGCUAGUUGGUAAGGUAACGGCUUACCAAGGCAACGAUGCGUAGCCGACCUGAUAGGGUGAUCGGCCACACUGGAACUGAGACACGGUCCAGACUCCUACGGGAGGCAGCAGUAGGGAAUCUUCCGCAAUGGGCGAAAGCCUGACGGAGCAACGCCGCGUGAGUGAUGAAGGUCUUCGGAUCGUAAAACUCUGUUAUUAGGAAAGAACAAAUGUGUAAGUAACUAUGCACGUCUUGACGGUACCUAAUCAGAAAGCCACGGCUAACUACGUG
Molecule: ribosomal RNA, 497 nt
Filed under: uncultured bacterium
Lineage: Bacteria
Description: partial 16S ribosomal RNA
Rfam family: Bacterial small subunit ribosomal RNA
Source: RNAcentral